GAUGAACGCUGGCGGCGUGCCUAAUACAUGCAAGUUGAGCGAACGGACGAGAAGCUUGCUUCUCUGAUGUUAGCGGCGGACGGGUGAGUAACACGUGGAUAACCUACCUAUAAGACUGGGAUAACUUCGGGAAACCGGAGCUAAUACCGGAUAAUAUUUUGAACCGCAUGGUUCAAAAGUGAAAGACGGUCUUGCUGUCACUUAUAGAUAGAUCCGCGCUGCAUUAGCUAGUUGGUAAGGUAACGGCUUACCAAGGCAACGAUGCAUAGCCGACCUGAGAGGGUGAUCGGCCACACUGGAACUGAGACACGGUCCAGACUCCUACGGGAGGCAGCAGUAGGGAAUCUUCCGCAAUGGGCGAAAGCCUGACGGAGCAACGCCGCGUGAGUGAUGAAGGUCUUCGGAUCGUAAAACUCUGUUAUUAGGGAAGAACAUAUGUGUAAGUAACUGUGCACAUCUUGACGGUACCUAAUCAGAAAGCCACGGCUAACUACGUG
This 497-nucleotide ribosomal RNA is filed under the name uncultured bacterium. Its description in RNAcentral is "partial 16S ribosomal RNA". It matches the Rfam family "Bacterial small subunit ribosomal RNA", at positions 28 to 507 of the family's 1533-position model. The record is from RNAcentral.